UUAAUGACAACUUCUGCCAAUUGUCUUGUAUUUUUCUCUCACUAUCAGGUUGAAAAGAUUGCAGACAAAAGAAAGGACAAAAAAGGCAAAUGGGAAUAUCUCAUUAGAUGGAAAAGUUAUGGGAGUAAUGAGGAUACCUGAGAACCGGCGUAUCAUCUACUGCAUUGUGAGAAGUUAAUUGCUGAAUUUAAUGGUCUCCAUUGGUCCAAGGAGAAGCAGGUGAAAUCGGGGAAGCCAAGCAGUGCGUCCAAAUUUUUACAAGAAAGUCAAGGUGUAUACAUUGAGGAAACAAUUUACAGGCCUUCAGAAUCUAGGAAAGAUUCCACUCUGGAUAAUCGAGAUUCAAACCUGCAGAGUGUUAUGGAAAGAAAAAUGGAUGGGAAGAGAGAUGUCUUUGAUAAGAGGCUCAGAUAAAGCAUCUGUCAAAAUGAAAAUAACAGUCUAUAUUUGAGACAUUGUGGUCAGGAAGGAAGAUGGAUUCACCCACAUCGUGUUCUCCAGUCAGACAUCACGUAACAGUGCCCUGACCCCUGAGAUUAUGAAAGAAAUGCAGAGAGCCUUAUGCAGUGCAUCAGCUGAUGACAGCAAGCUUUUGCUUCUCAGUGCAGUUGGAAAUUCAUUCUGUAGCAGCUUGGAUUACUUUUAUUUACUAAGCCAGUUAUCCAACGAAAGAAGAAAGGAAAGCACCAGGAUUACAGAGGU
Molecule: long non-coding RNA, 702 nt
Organism: Ornithorhynchus anatinus (platypus)
Lineage: Eukaryota; Metazoa; Chordata; Mammalia; Monotremata; Ornithorhynchidae
Exons: 3
Source: RefSeq, a predicted model, not a curated record